RNAcentral lists this non-coding RNA (29 nucleotides) under Rattus norvegicus (Norway rat). Lineage: Eukaryota; Metazoa; Chordata; Mammalia; Rodentia; Muridae. The record is from RNAcentral.
UUCAGCAACAUUGGUGAAAGAGGAGGAAC